Molecule: ribosomal RNA, 729 nt
Filed under: Acinetobacter baumannii
Lineage: Bacteria; Pseudomonadati; Pseudomonadota; Gammaproteobacteria; Moraxellales; Moraxellaceae
Description: bacterial SSU rRNA
Rfam family: Bacterial small subunit ribosomal RNA
Source: RNAcentral
GCAAGUCGAGCGGGGGAAGGUAGCUUGCUACCGGACCUAGCGGCGGACGGGUGAGUAAUGCUUAGGAAUCUGCCUAUUAGUGGGGGACAACAUCUCGAAAGGGAUGCUAAUACCGCAUACGUCCUACGGGAGAAAGCAGGGGAUCUUCGGACCUUGCGCUAAUAGAUGAGCCUAAGUCGGAUUAGCUAGUUGGUGGGGUAAAGGCCUACCAAGGCGACGAUCUGUAGCGGGUCUGAGAGGAUGAUCCGCCACACUGGGACUGAGACACGGCCCAGACUCCUACGGGAGGCAGCAGUGGGGAAUAUUGGACAAUGGGGGGAACCCUGAUCCAGCCAUGCCGCGUGUGUGAAGAAGGCCUUAUGGUUGUAAAGCACUUUAAGCGAGGAGGAGGCUACUUUAGUUAAUACCUAGAGAUAGUGGACGUUACUCGCAGAAUAAGCACCGGCUAACUCUGUGCCAGCAGCCGCGGUAAUACAGAGGGUGCGAGCGUUAAUCGGAUUUACUGGGCGUAAAGCGUGCGUAGGCGGCUUAUUAAGUCGGAUGUGAAAUCCCCGAGCUUAACUUGGGAAUUGCAUUCGAUACUGGUGAGCUAGAGUAUGGGAGAGGAUGGUAGAAUUCCAGGUGUAGCGGUGAAAUGCGUAGAGAUCUGGAGGAAUACCGAUGGCGAAGGCAGCCAUCUGGCCUAAUACUGACGCUGAGGUACGAAAGCAUGGGGAGCAAACAGGAUUA